Molecule: long non-coding RNA, 631 nt
Organism: Monodelphis domestica (gray short-tailed opossum)
Lineage: Eukaryota; Metazoa; Chordata; Mammalia; Didelphimorphia; Didelphidae
Source: RefSeq, a predicted model, not a curated record
GAUAGGGCAGGAGACUCUAGAAUAAGAGUUGGUAGCCAAUAGUUACCCAGUAAUUGCUUUGGGCCCUUGAUUGCUCUCCUCGAGUUGGACCUUUUUCUUUCUCCCUUUUCUCAUUCUCCCCAUUUGCUUUCUGUCUUUUUGGGGAUUUCUCAGACAUAGUGCCAGUGAGUUUGGGCAAUUGAGUCAGCUCAGAUCCAGGACUAAAGAGGAUUUCAGAAGGACACACUGCAGAACAAUUGGAUUAUCAGACCAGGGGAAUGAUGGAUCUUGACUUCACUUCAGAGGAAUGAUGGUGAAAUGUAGCCUCCUCUUCCCACCCCUUUAAACCAGUGGAAGGUGGUUAAGGUCCACAUUUUGGGGAGCUAACUUGUUCAGAGGGGAAGUGACAUCACCUACAUGGUUCACUCUACCACAGAGAACUUUGAGAGGAUAGGGAAGGAAUGGGAGUGAUCCGUGGCCCAUGUCACAAUAUCAGGCAGAUGACUCAAGAGAAGCCCAAGACCAAGCUGACGUUACUGGACAUUCUUGCCCAUCUCAUGGCCUCCCUGAUGAAUGUCAUGACUGGAAGGCUGUUGUGUUCCACCAAGGGACUCAAGUCAUAAGAGAAAAUAAAAUCAAGCCAUACUUCCUG